Molecule: ribosomal RNA, 433 nt
Filed under: uncultured bacterium
Lineage: Bacteria
Description: partial 16S ribosomal RNA
Rfam family: Bacterial small subunit ribosomal RNA
Source: RNAcentral
AGCGAACGCUGGCGGCAGGCCUAACACAUGCAAGUCGAACGGAUCCUUCGGGAUUAGUGGCGGACGGGUGAGUAACACGUGGGAACGUGCCCUUUGGUUCGGAACAACUCAGGGAAACUUGAGCUAAUACCGGAUGUGCCCUUCGGGGGAAAGAUUUAUCGCCAUUGGAGCGGCCCGCGUCUGAUUAGCUAGUUGGUGAGGUAACGGCCCACCAAGGCGACGAUCAGUAGCUGGUCUGAGAGGAUGAUCAGCCACACUGGGACUGAGACACGGCCCAGACUCCUACGGGAGGCAGCAGUGGGGAAUCUUGCGCAAUGGGCGAAAGCCUGACGCAGCCAUGCCGCGUGAAUGGUGAAGGUCUUAGGAUUGUAAAAUUCUUUCAGCGGGGACGAUAAUGACGGUACCCGCAGAAGAAGCUCCGGCUAACUUCGUG